CACAAAGGCUUAGUCCUGACUUUACUGUCAGCUCUGGCUAAACUUAUACAUGCAAGUAUCCGCACCCCUGUGAGAAUGCCCUCGCCCGUUUCCCACCCGGAAACAAGGAGCAGGUAUCAGGCACGGCACGAGCCAGCCCACAACACCUUGCUUAGCCACACCCCCAAGGGCUUGCAGCAGUGAUAAAUAUUAAGCAAUGAGUGAAAACUUGACUUAGUUAAAGCUUAGAGGGCCGGUAAAACUCGUGCCAGCCACCGCGGUUAUACGAGAGGCCCAAGUUGACAGUUAGCGGCGUAAAGAGUGGUUAAGGAAAUUUUUAAACUAAAGCCAAACAUCCUCAAAGCUGUCAUACGCUCCCGAGUUAAGAAGCCCGAAAACGAAAGUAGCUUUAAUUUACCCGACCCCACGAAAGCUGUGGAACAAACUGGGAUUCGAUACCCCACUAUGCUCAGCCGUAAAAUUUGAUAGGUCACCACGCCCCCUAUCCGCCAGGGUACUACGAGCGCCAGCUUAAAACCCAAAGGACUUGGCGGUGCCUUACGUCCAUCUAGAGGAGCCUGUUCUGUAACCGAUAAUCCUCGUUCAACCUCACCCCCCCUUGCAAAAUCAGCCUAUAUACCGCCGUCGUCAGCUCACCCUGUGAAGGAUCAAAAGUGAGCAAAAUUGGUAUGACCCAGAACGUCAGGUCGAGGUGUAGCUCACGGGAGGGGAAGUAAUGGGCUACACUUCCUAAAACAGGAGACACGAACAAUGAACUGAAACAAACAUUUGAAGGUGGAUUUAGCAGUAAGUAGAAACCAUCAUGUUCUGCUGAAAUUCUAUGGCACUUAGGCACGUACAUAUCGCCCGUCACCCUCCCCAAGCUAAAAACAAAUGCUACCUAAAAAAUUCAGACUGCAAAGGGGAGGCAAGUCGUAACAUGGUAAGCGUACCGGAAGGUGCGCUUG
RNAcentral lists this non-coding RNA (947 nucleotides) under Pristotis obtusirostris (gulf damselfish). RNAcentral's name for it is "partial 12S ribosomal RNA". It matches the Rfam family "Bacterial small subunit ribosomal RNA". The record is from RNAcentral. Lineage: Eukaryota; Metazoa; Chordata; Actinopteri; Pomacentridae.